RNAcentral lists this non-coding RNA (29 nucleotides) under Homo sapiens (human). The record is from RNAcentral. Lineage: Eukaryota; Metazoa; Chordata; Mammalia; Primates; Hominidae.
UGAACACGGUGCGCUUCACCUCGGAGUUC